RNAcentral lists this ribosomal RNA (483 nucleotides) under uncultured bacterium. Its description in RNAcentral is "partial 16S ribosomal RNA". It matches the Rfam family "Bacterial small subunit ribosomal RNA", at positions 29 to 506 of the family's 1533-position model. The record is from RNAcentral.
AUUGAACGCUGGCGGAAUGCUUUACACAUGCAAGUCGAACGGCAGCACGGGGGCAGCCCUGGUGGCGAGUGGCGAACGGGUGAGUAAUACAUCGGAACGGGCCCGGUCGUGGGGGAUUACGUAGCGAAAGUUACGCUAAUACCGCAUACGAGCUGAGGAUGAAAGCGGGGGAACUUCGGGCCUCGCGCGAUGGGAGCGGCCGAUGUCAGAGUAGGGAGUUGGUGGGGUAAAGGCCUACCAAGCCGACGAGCUGUAGCUGGCCGGAGAGGACGACCAGCCACACUGGGACUGGGCAACGGCCCAGACUCCUACGGGAGGCAGCAGUGGGGAAUUUUGGACAAUGGGCGCAAGCCUGAUCCAGCCAGUCCGCGUGCAGGACGAAGGCCUUCGGGUUGUAAACUGCUUUUGUACGGAACGAAAAGGCUCUGGCUAAUACCUGGGGCUCAUGACGGUACCGUAAGAAUAAGCACCGGCUAACUACGU